Molecule: long non-coding RNA, 500 nt
Organism: Homo sapiens (human)
Lineage: Eukaryota; Metazoa; Chordata; Mammalia; Primates; Hominidae
Gene: SNHG20
Product: small nucleolar RNA host gene 20
Source: Ensembl
ACUUCCGGCCGGAAGUUGCUGACGGAGCUACUUCCGCCCAGGGGAGUGGGAAGUUUCAACAGAAAAUGAGAAAUAUCCCCCGACGAUUGGCUGAAAACAUGCAGCAACCACUAUUUUCUUCCUGCCCCUCGUUGAUGAGAGCAUUCGAAGUGACCUCAGCAGGGCAUCCAGGUAUGUCAAGCAUGGUGACAAAGUGUUCAGGUCAGACGGUCUGGGGAAAGGCUCCUGUGUUGUUGAGCCUGCCAAGUUGUGGGUGCAGCAUGGUACCAGGCAGCCCAACCCUGACCUAAAGUAAAUUCCCGGAAGAAGUCUUUCCUGGGUUUUGAAUUUGCAGUAACAGGUGUGAGCAUUCUAGCAGCAGUUUGAUGAUCAUGUAUGAUACUGCAAACAGGACCUACGUUUAAAGAAAAUGGUUGUAGUUAGUAUCAGAGAGCCCUUGCUUUUCAAAACUUCAUAAACAAUGUUACUGUCAUGUCUUUCAUUCAAUAAACAUUUGUUGA